Molecule: ribosomal RNA, 497 nt
Filed under: uncultured bacterium
Lineage: Bacteria
Description: partial 16S ribosomal RNA
Rfam family: Bacterial small subunit ribosomal RNA
Source: RNAcentral
GAUGAACGCUGGCGGCGUGCCUAAUACAUGCAAGUCGAGCGAACAGACGAGGAGCUUGCUCCUCUGACGUUAGCGGCGGACGGGUGAGUAACACGUGGAUAACCUACCUAUAAGACUGGGAUAACUUCGGGAAACCGGAGCUAAUACCGGAUAAUAUAUUGAACCGCAUGGUUCAAUAGUGAAAGACGGUUUUGCUGUCACUUAUAGAUGGAUCCGCGCCGCAUUAGCUAGUUGGUAAGGUAACGGCUUACCAAGGCAACGAUGCGUAGCCGGCCGGAGAGGGUGAGCGGCCACACGGGAACUGAGGCACGGUCGAGACUCCUACGGGAGGCAGCAGUAGGGAAUCUUCCGCGAUGGGCGAAAGCCUGACGGAGCAACGCCGCGUGAGUGAUGAAGGUCUUCGGAUCGUAAAACUCUGUUAUUAGGGAAGAACAAAUGUGUAAGUAACUAUGCACGUCUUGACGGUACCUAAUCAGAAAGCCACGGCUAACUACGUG